AAUGGCAGAUAAAAUGAUGACACUCUUGCCCUCACUCAGAAGUGUUUGAUAAUGAGAAUUUUGAUUUUCUUCUCAAAGAUCUGAGCCAGC
This is a small nucleolar RNA of Stegostoma tigrinum, 90 nucleotides long. RefSeq annotates it as small nucleolar RNA SNORD103/SNORD85. The record is from RefSeq and is a predicted model, not a curated record. The transcript has a single exon. NCBI's taxonomy places the organism in Eukaryota, Metazoa, Chordata, Chondrichthyes, Orectolobiformes, Stegostomatidae.